Molecule: non-coding RNA, 360 nt
Organism: Arachis ipaensis
Lineage: Eukaryota; Viridiplantae; Streptophyta; Magnoliopsida; Fabales; Fabaceae
Source: RefSeq, a predicted model, not a curated record
UGUUCUGUCUCUGCCUUUGGUUUCUGCGAGUUGUCGGAGCCCUCUGCCACCGGGAACCAACAUUCGAGCUGCCCAGGAAACCACCAUUAGAACCACUACUAUUUUGCUGCCACCGAGGUCGUUGGUGCUUGUCAAGAGUGCUAUUCUGGUUCUGAAUUGAUUAGUUCUUGCCACUGCUGCUGCUGAGAAGUGAUCAGAAAUGCCACUGCUGUUAGUUCGGUUCAAGGAGGUUGUUGCCACUGCGAAUUAAAAAUAAAAGAAGGCUGUGUUGUGUUUGAUUAUCGAAUUCCGGCUAAUCGAGUGACACAGGUUCGAAGACUCUGUUUGGAGCUGCGGGCAAUUAUAGAACUUGUUUACGAG